UUGAUAGAGUAAGGGGGUGAGGAGGGGGGAGAAGAGGUAGAGGGAUCCUCCAGACGUCUGAAAACCUGAGGUGGUCAGAUCAGAUGACCAGACAGGCUGUGUGUGUGUGUGUUUGUUGCUAAUGUGUUGGAGAAUAAUGUUCCAAUAUAACUCUGGAAUAGUUUGAACCAACACCCUUGGCUCCUCCCACUUCCGUCUGCUCUGUUAUCGAUUUGCACUUUAAAACAAUUGAAUGGAAAUGGAAAGGUUAAAAAAAAAAGGAGGUGGAAUAUCAAUAAAAUGUGAAUUGCAAAGAUUCAGUAAAGGAUGAGGUUUAGAUAACGAGUGAGUGAAAUGGUGGAACGACAGCAUAGCAACACGUCUGUGGUUAAAAAUCACGAUAUUCCUGAUUGUUAUGUUUUUAUUUCUGCAUUAUCACCUGAAACUAAGCAUUGUUUGUUUUUUUUUACGUGACCCGAGGUUCUUCACUCGGGGACAACGUCCAGAAGCAUCAUCACGUCCCCUUACGUCACUCAGAAAAGGAGAGCGGCGAGGAAGAGGAGGAGGAGGAGCUCCAACAACACGACAUUUAAGAGGUGCAGUGGUCUGGAGCCGCUCUCCAACAGCAUGCACAGUGAUGUCACCAUGAGGACGACAGAGACAACACCACAUUGUCGGGCGGACGGGGAGUUUGAUCCAGACGCUUGGAUGGAGUUCCAGUUUCACAGAAACAGCUGUGUGGAUACUCAAGACAAACUGGCCACCGUGCCGCCUGAUUUGAUCCUCCUCGCUCCGUCACAGUCCAGUAACCUGCCUUCCUUCCAGACCCCAGCCAGCGUGUGUGUGUGUGUGUGUGUGUGUGUGUGUGUGUGUGUG
This is a long non-coding RNA of Solea senegalensis (Senegalese sole), 855 nucleotides long. RefSeq lists it as uncharacterized. NCBI's taxonomy places the organism in Eukaryota, Metazoa, Chordata, Actinopteri, Pleuronectiformes, Soleidae. The record is from RefSeq and is a predicted model, not a curated record. The transcript has 3 exons.